GACGAACGCUGGCGGCGUGCCUAAUACAUGCAAGUAGAACGCUGAAGAGAGGAGUUUGCUCUUCUUGGAAGAGUUGCGAACGGGUGAGUAACGCGUAGGUAACCUGCCUUGUAGCGGGGGAUAACUAUUGGAAACGAUAGCUAAUACCGCAUAACAAUGGGUGACCCAUGUCAUUCAUUUGAAAGGGGCAACUGCUCCACUACAAGAUGGACCUGCGUUGUAUUAGCUAGUAGGUGAGGUAACGGCUCACCUAGGCGACGAUACAUAGCCGACCUGAGAGGGUGAUCGGCCACACUGGGACUGAGACACGGCCCAGACUCCUACGGGAGGCAGCAGUAGGGAAUCUUCGGCAAUGGGGGCAACCCUGACCGAGCAACGCCGCGUGAGUGAAGAAGGUUUUCGGAUCGUAAAGCUCUGUUGUAAGUCAAGAACGAGUGUGAGAGUGGAAAGUUCACACUGUGACGGUAGCUUACCAGAAAGGGACGGCUAACUACGUGCCAGCAGCCGCGGUAAUACGUAGGUCCCGAGCGUUGUCCGGAUUUAUUGGGCGUAAAGCGAGCGCAGGCGGUUUGAUAAGUCUGAAGUUAAAGGCUGUGGCUCAACCAUAGUUCGCUUUGGAAACUGUCAAACUUGAGUGCAGAAGGGGAGAGUGGAAUUCCAUGUGUAGCGGUGAAAUGCGUAGAUAUAUGGAGGAACACCGGUGGCGAAAGCGGCUCCCUGGUCUGUAACUGACGCUGAGGCUCGAAAGCGUGGGGAGCGAACAGG
RNAcentral lists this ribosomal RNA (765 nucleotides) under uncultured Streptococcus sp. RNAcentral's name for it is "bacterial SSU rRNA". It matches the Rfam family "Bacterial small subunit ribosomal RNA", at positions 28 to 776 of the family's 1533-position model. The record is from RNAcentral. Lineage: Bacteria; Bacillati; Bacillota; Bacilli; Lactobacillales; Streptococcaceae.